GAUGAACGCUGGCGGCGUGCCUAAUACAUGCAAGUCGAGCGAACGGACGAGAAGCUUGCUUCUCUGAUGUUAGCGGCGGACGGGUGAGUAACACGUGGAUAACCUACCUAUAAUACUGGUAUAACUUCGGGAAACCGGAGCUAAUACCGGAUAAUAUUUUGAACCGCAUGGUUCAAAAGUGAAAUACGGUCGUGCUGUCACUUAUAGAUGGAUCCGCGCUGCAUUGGAUAGUUGGUAAGGUAACGGCUUACCAAGGCAACGAUGCAUAGCCGACCUGAGAGGGGGGUCGGCCACACUGGAACUGAGACACGGUCCAGACUCCUACGGGAGGCAGCAGUAGGGAAUCUUCCGCAAUGGGCGAGAGCCUGACGGAGCAACGCCGCGUGAGUGAUGAAGGUCUUCGGAUCGUAAAACUCUGUUAUUAGGGAAGAACAUAUGUGUAAGUAACUGUGCACAUCUUGACGGUACCUAAUCAGAAAGCCACGGCUAACUACGUG
RNAcentral lists this ribosomal RNA (497 nucleotides) under uncultured bacterium. RNAcentral describes it as "partial 16S ribosomal RNA". It matches the Rfam family "Bacterial small subunit ribosomal RNA", at positions 28 to 507 of the family's 1533-position model. The record is from RNAcentral.